GAAGGGGGCUAGCGUUGCUCGGAAUGACUGGGCGUAAAGGGCGCGCAGGCAGUUUGGACAGUCAGAUGUGAAAUUCCCGGGCUUAACCUGGGGGCUGCAUUUGAUACGUUCAGACUAGGGUGUGAAAGAGGGUUGUGGAACUCCAAGUGUAGAGGUGAAAUUCGUAGAUAUUUGGAAGAACACCGGUGGCGAAGGCGGCGACCUGGUUCACAACUGACGCUGAGGCGCGAAAGCGUGGGGAGCAAACAGGAUUAGAUACCCUGGUAGUCCACGCUGUAAACGAUGUAUGCUAGAUGUUAGGCAACCUAGUUGUUUAGUGUCGGAGCUAACGCGAUAAGCAUACCGCCUGGGGAGUACGGCCGCAAGGUUG
This 370-nucleotide ribosomal RNA is filed under the name uncultured bacterium. RNAcentral's name for it is "bacterial SSU rRNA". It matches the Rfam family "Bacterial small subunit ribosomal RNA", at positions 527 to 896 of the family's 1533-position model. The record is from RNAcentral.